AAGAUAGUAACAUCCAUAAAAGAAAAAGAUACCCAAGAAUGGAAAAAUGAAUUACUUGCAAGAGACUCCCUCACCCUAUACAGAAGAUACAAACCUGACAUCAAGGAAACUGACCUCUAUGAAAAUGACGAGGCCAGCAAGAUUUUAAUGCGCUGUCGCAGCAACACCCUCAAAUUAAACAACAGAAACAGGCACACCAACGGGAACACACUGUGCACACAAUGCAACACUAACCAAGACAAAACGCUAGAACACUUCCUACUACACUGUGAUGCAUAGGCUACAGAAACAUCAGACAACAACUACCCUUCCUUGAAGUGAACACAACAACUGAAGAAGAAAAACUGGCUAAUCUUUUACUUUUUACAGACAACCGAAGUGUCACUGAGAAAAAACAAACUAUACUACAAAUGUGGAAACAGCGAGCACAACAAUCAUAAGACUCACCAAAGUAACAACAAAGACAAUACCAAAGAAAAUUACUAAAGUGGGGUCCAAGGCCUAGUGGAGUGUUAUUUGGGUUCCGCAGGGAGUUGCUGGAGCCAGUGAAGAGUGCGCCAGCUGAUCAACUACCUGUCAACCACCAACCGCCUGCUCCGCCAAUACAUGUUCAAGCAUAUGGGACACAUCAUCGCAAGGACAGCACUGGUGGGCCACCAGUGCUAGGUGCUUGUUGCAGCAGAGCAUGAGGAACUGUUGUCCAUGAACCACGACCUCAAGCGGAAGUUAAAGGCUGACCGAACGAAGAUAACCAGACUCGGGGAGGAGAUGCAGAUACUGUACGGCUACAGGAGGAGAACCGAGCCCUGGCACGUUGUAUACAAGAGGAGCACGAGGCUGUUGUCCAAAUGAGGCUCUGGUCACAACAGGCCCAGUGGCAUGACCUUUGACCUGACACCCCUAUGGCACCUGUCUGCUAGUGCCCCAACACCCACAGCAUCCCUACCCUAAGGCCCUGGGCACUGGCUGGUCUUGUCACAUGGUUCAAGAGUGCCUGCCAACCUACCCUGUGGCACCUAAGCUUCAAGAGUGCUAGCCUAACUCUCCUGGGGUACUACUGUUGGCACU
This is a long non-coding RNA of Eriocheir sinensis (Chinese mitten crab), 1068 nucleotides long. RefSeq lists it as uncharacterized. The transcript is spliced from 4 exons. The record is from RefSeq and is a predicted model, not a curated record. Lineage: Eukaryota; Metazoa; Arthropoda; Malacostraca; Decapoda; Varunidae.